AUAUAGGAGGUCCAGCCUGCCCAGUGACAAAGUUCAACGGCCACGGUAUCCUAACCGUGCGAAGGUAGCAUAAUCACUUGUUCUUUAAAUGAGGACUUGUAUCAACGGCAUCACGAGAGUUAUACUGUCUCCUUUUUCCGAUCAGUAAAACUAAUCUCCCCAUGAAGAAGCGGGGAUACUAGUAUAAGACGAGAAGACCCCAUGGAACUUAAAACCCAACUGCACCCCUAAUAUUUAUAGCCUUACAACUAAUAGGACUCUGUAUAGUUGGUUUUAGGUUGGGGCGACCACGGAGUACAACAAAACCUCCACAAUGAACGGGACCACCCCCCUUAUCUAAGAGAUACCCCUCUAAGAAUUAAAAUAUUAACAUAAAAUGAUCCACUUUUGAUCAAUGAACCAAGCUACCCUGGGGAUAACAGCGCAAUCUAUUUCAAGAGCCCCUAUCGACAAAUGGGUUUACGACCUCGAUGUUGGAUCAGGGUGUCCUAG
RNAcentral lists this ribosomal RNA (492 nucleotides) under Mantidactylus bletzae. RNAcentral describes it as "partial large subunit ribosomal RNA". It matches the Rfam family "Bacterial large subunit ribosomal RNA", at positions 1843 to 2550 of the family's 2925-position model. Lineage: Eukaryota; Metazoa; Chordata; Amphibia; Anura; Mantellidae. The record is from RNAcentral.